RNAcentral lists this ribosomal RNA (1517 nucleotides) under uncultured bacterium. RNAcentral describes it as "bacterial SSU rRNA". It matches the Rfam family "Bacterial small subunit ribosomal RNA". The record is from RNAcentral.
AGAGUUUGAUCCUGGCUCAGAACGAACGCUGGCGGCGUGGAUUAGGCAUGCAAGUCGAGCGAGAACCUCUUCGGAGGGGACAGCGGCGAAAGGGUGAGUAAUAAAUAGUCAACCUACCCUCCAGGUCGGGAUAACGUCGGGAAACUGGCGCUAAUACCGGAUGGUCAGCAAGAAUCGCAUGGUUUUUGUUGUAAAGAUUGCCUCUCAGCGAAGCUGUCGCUGGAGGAGGGGACUAUUUUCUAUUAGCUUGUUGGUGGGGUAACGGCCUACCAAGGCAGUGAUGGAUAGCCGACCUUAGCGGGUGACCGGCCACACUGGGACUGAGACACUGCCCAGACUCUUACGGGAGGCUGCAGUCGAGAAUCUUCCGCAAUGGGCGAAAGCCUGACGGAGCGACGCCGCGUGUAGGAUUGAAGGCCCUUGGGUUGUAAACUACUGUCACAGGUUAAGAAACGCCAGAAGGUUAAGAGCUAUUUGGUUUGACAAAGGCCUGAGAGGAAGCCACGGCUAACUUCGUGCCAGCAGCCGCGGUAAGACGAAGGUGGCAAGCGUUGUUCGGAAUCACUGGGCAUAAAGCGCGCGUAGGCGGUCCGCUAAGUUGGAUGUGAAAGCCCCCGGCCCAACCGGGGAAUUGCGUUCAAUACUGGUGGACUUGAGAGUCGGAGAGGUAUGUGGAAUUCCUGGUGGAGCGGUGAAAUGCGUUGAUAUCAGGAGGAACACCGGAGGCGAAGGCGACAUACUGGCCGACUUCUGACGCUGAGGUGCGAAAGCAUGGGGAGCAAACGGGAUUAGAUACCCCGGUAGUCCAUGCCGUAAACGAUGAAUACUAGGUGGGGGGACACCUAACGUCUCCCUGCUGCCGCUAAUGCAUUAAGUAUUCCGCCUGGGGAGUAUGGUCGCAAGGCUGAAACUCAAAGGAAUCGACGGGGGCUCACACAAGCGGUGGAGCAUGUUGAUUAAUUCGAAGCAACGCGCAGAACCUUACCCAGACUUGACAUGUAUGUGGUAGUGAACCGAAAGGGAAUCCACCUCCUUCUGGAGGAGCAUACACAGGUGUUGCAUGGCUGUCGUCAGCUCGUGUCGUGAGAUGUUAGGUUAAGUCCUAUAACGAGCGAAACCCCUAUUGUUAGUUGCCAGCGCGUAAAGGCGGGGACUUUAGCAAGACUGCCGAUGUUAAAUCGGAGGAAGGUGGGGAUGACGUCAAGUCCUCAUGGCCCUUACGUCUGGGGCUUCAAACGUGCCACAAUGGGUAGUACAAAGGGACGCAAGCCCGCGAGGUCAAGCAAAUCCCAAAAAGCUACUCUCAGUUCGGAUUGUAGGCUGCAACUCGCCUGCAUGAAGCUGGAAUCGCUAGUAAUCGGAGAUCAGCUACGCUCCGGUGAAUAUGUUCCUGAGCCUUGUACACACCGCCCGUCAAGCCACGAGAGCUGGUAGUACCCGAAGUCGUUGACCCAACCUAUGGAGGGAGACGCCGACGGUAAGACCGGUGAUUGGGACUAAGUCGUAACAAGGUAACC